AGCGAACGCUGGCGGCAUGCUUAACACGUGCCAGUCGCGCGGUUGGUUUCGGCCAUCAGCGGCGGACGGGUGAGUAUCGCGUAGGAAUGUAUCCCGAGGUGGGGGACAACCCUGGGAAACUGGGGCUAAUACCGCAUGUGGCCUGUGGGUCAAAGCCUUAGGGCGCCUUGGGAGCAGCCUGCGUCCGAUUAGGUAGUUGGUGGGGUAAAGGCCUACCAAGCCUGCGAUCGGUAGCUGGUCUGAGAGGACGAUCAGCCACACUGGGACUGAGACACGGCCCAGACUCCUACGGGAGGCAGCAGUGGGGAAUAUUGGACAAUGGGCGAAAGACUGAUCCAGCAAUGCCGCGUGGGUGAAGAAGGUCUUCGGAUUGUAAAGCCCUUUCGGCGGGGACGAUGAUGACGGUACCCGCAGAAGAAGCCCCGGCUAACUUCGUG
RNAcentral lists this ribosomal RNA (437 nucleotides) under uncultured bacterium. RNAcentral's name for it is "partial 16S ribosomal RNA". It matches the Rfam family "Bacterial small subunit ribosomal RNA", at positions 28 to 507 of the family's 1533-position model. The record is from RNAcentral.